RNAcentral lists this non-coding RNA (24 nucleotides) under Arabidopsis thaliana (thale cress). The record is from RNAcentral. Lineage: Eukaryota; Viridiplantae; Streptophyta; Magnoliopsida; Brassicales; Brassicaceae.
AGAAGGCUCUCAACGGUAUCAACG